RNAcentral lists this ribosomal RNA (406 nucleotides) under Cryptocercus clevelandi. RNAcentral describes it as "partial 16S ribosomal RNA". Lineage: Eukaryota; Metazoa; Arthropoda; Insecta; Blattodea; Cryptocercidae. The record is from RNAcentral.
CGCUGUUAUCCCUAAGGUAAUUUAGUCUUUUAAUCACUAAAAAUGGAUCAAAAAUAUAUAAAUANAUAUAAAAAAAUAAAAAGAGUUAUUUUAAUCUUCCUAUCACCCCAACAAAAUUCACACAACAUUAAAUUUUGACCCACAAAAAAUAUUUAAAUAAAUUAAACUCUAUAGGGUCUUCUCGUCCCAAAAAAACAUUUAGGCAUUUUAACCUAAAAUUUAAAUUCAACAUAAUAAAAAUCAAAGACAGUAACUACCUCGUCAAACCAUUCAUUCCAGCCUACAAUUAAAAGACUAAUGAUUAUGCUACCUUUGCACGGUCAAAAUACCGCGGCCCUUCAAAUAAUCAGCGGGCAGGUCAUACAUCAUAAUAACAACAAAAAGAGAUGUUUUUGUUAAACAGGCG